This 73-nucleotide transfer RNA is filed under the name Myotis davidii. It matches the Rfam family "tRNA". From Rfam's summary of the family: Transfer RNA (tRNA) molecules are approximately 80 nucleotides in length. The record is from Rfam by way of RNAcentral. Lineage: Eukaryota; Metazoa; Chordata; Mammalia; Chiroptera; Vespertilionidae.
GCCCUUUUGGCUCAGUGGAUAGAGUGUUGGCCUGCAGAACAAAUGGUUCUGGGUUCAAUUCCGGUCAAGGGCA